UACGUAGGGACCAAGCGUUGUCCGGAAUCAUUGGGCGUAAAGGGUGCGUAGGCGGCGCGGUAAGUCGGGUGUGAAAUCUCGGAGCUUAACUCCGAAACUGCAUUCGAUACUGCCGUGCUUGAGGACUGGAGAGGAGACUGGAAUUUACGGUGUAGCGGUGAAAUGCGUAGAUAUCGUAAGGAAGACCAGUGGCGAAGGCGGGUCUCUGGACAGUUCCUGACGCUGAGGCACGAAGGUCAGGGGAGCAAACGGG
Molecule: ribosomal RNA, 253 nt
Filed under: uncultured bacterium
Lineage: Bacteria
Description: partial 16S ribosomal RNA
Rfam family: Bacterial small subunit ribosomal RNA
Source: RNAcentral